RNAcentral lists this ribosomal RNA (395 nucleotides) under uncultured bacterium. RNAcentral describes it as "partial 16S ribosomal RNA". It matches the Rfam family "Bacterial small subunit ribosomal RNA", at positions 363 to 775 of the family's 1533-position model. The record is from RNAcentral.
CUUGCGCAAUGGGCGAAAGCCUGACGCAGCCAUGCCGCGUGGAUGAUGAAGGUCUUANNNUUGUANACUUCUUUCACCGGGGANGAUNAUGACGGUACCCGGAGAAGAAGCCCCGGCUAACUUCGUGCCAGCAGCCGCGGUAAUACGAAGGGGGCUAGCGUUGCUCGGAAUUACUGGGCGUAAAGGGCGCGUAGGCGGAUCGUUAAGUCAGAGGUGAAAUCCCAGGGCUCAACCCUGGAACUGCCUUUGAUACUGGCGAUCUUGAGUAUGAGAGAGGUAUGUGGAACUCCGAGUGUAGAGGUGAAAUCCGUAGAUAUUCGGAAGAACACCAGUGGCGAAGGCGACAUACUGGCUCAUUACUGACGCUGAGGCGCGAAAGCGUGGGGAGCAAACAG